UACGUAGGGUGCAAGCGUUAAUCGGAAUUACUGGGCGUAAAGCGUGCGCAGGCGGUUGUGCAAGACAGAUGUGAAAAUCCCCGGGCUCAACCUGGGAAUUGCAUUUGUGACUGCACGGCUAGAGUGUGUCAGAGGGGGGGUAGAAUUCCACGUGUAGCAGUGAAAUGCGUAGAGAUGUGGAGGAAUACCGAUGGCGAAGGCAGCCCCCUGGGAUAACACUGACGCUCAUGCACGAAAGCGUGGGGAGCAAACAGG
Molecule: ribosomal RNA, 255 nt
Filed under: uncultured bacterium
Lineage: Bacteria
Description: partial 16S ribosomal RNA
Rfam family: Bacterial small subunit ribosomal RNA
Source: RNAcentral